GUUUUUGUUCUUUGUGUAUUGCUGGUUUCAUGCUCUGAUUCUGGCAAUAAUGAGGAUUACUAGGGAUGCCAAGCGUUCCAUGUUACUCUGCCAUCUAGGCGGCCACUGUGUUAGAGGUGGGUUAAGCUGGGCAGAGACAGCCUGUGUUCAUGGGAAAAACCUGUGUGUUGGGCUGUGUGCUCCUGGAGGCAGAGGAUUGUCUCUUCUCCAUCUUUGCAUCCCCAGUGACUAGAACAUCAAAGGCAUCUGUGCAUACUGUUAAAUGAAGGAGUGCAGAAUUUGACAUGAGAAAACCCGAAACGGGAGCAUUUCACUCUCGUCGCCCAAGUUGGAGUGCAAUGGUGUGAUCUCGGCUCACUGCAACAUCUGCCUCCCCAGUUCAAGAGAUUAUCCUGCCUCAGCCUCCCGAGUAGCUGGGAUUACAGGUGCCUGACACCAAGCCUGGCUAAUUUUUGUAUUUUUAGUAGAGAUGGGGUUUCACCAUGUUGGUCAGGCUGGUCUCGAACUCCUGGCCUCAAGUGAUCCGCUUACCUCAGCCUCCCAAAGUGCUGGGAUUACAGGCAUGAGCCACCGCAUCUAGCCUGUUAUACAUCCUUCUGCGAAGUUGUCUGUGAUGUUAAUACUGAGUGUCAACUUGAUUGGAUUGAAGGAUACAAAGUAUUGAUCCUGGGUGCGUCUGUGAAGGUGUUGCCAAAGGAGAUUAACAUUUGGUCAGGGGACUGGGAGAGGCGGACCCACCCUUAAUCUGGGUGUGCACCAUCUGAUCAGCUGUCAGCGUGGCUAGAAUAUAAAAAGCAGGCAGGGUAUAUACCCAAAGGAUUAUAAAU
RNAcentral lists this long non-coding RNA (827 nucleotides) under Homo sapiens (human). RNAcentral describes it as "HSALNT0020321". Lineage: Eukaryota; Metazoa; Chordata; Mammalia; Primates; Hominidae. The record is from RNAcentral.